UUUUUGAGAGAUCCGUCCAUCAGAUUUGCAAACGUACUGAGCCAGCGCGUUAGCACGACCAGGGCAUCGACCUCACGAUUUUGUUUCGCCCUAUAUGAUCGCCGAUUUGCGACGAAACCCAUCCACUCUCCAAUUUUCCAAAAACCACACCUAUAUAUUUGUGUAAAUCCAAUAAACCUCAAAUUCAAAUUCGCCCUACUACUG
This 204-nucleotide long non-coding RNA is filed under the name Ananas comosus (pineapple). RNAcentral describes it as "long non-coding RNA (ACOM_LNC029426)". The record is from RNAcentral. Lineage: Eukaryota; Viridiplantae; Streptophyta; Magnoliopsida; Poales; Bromeliaceae.